AGUGAACGCUGGCGGUAGGCCUAACACAUGCAAGUCGAACGGCAGCACAGUAAGAGCUUGCUCUUACGGGUGGCGAGUGGCGGACGGGUGAGGAAUACAUCGGAAUCUACUUUUUCGUGGGGGAUAACGUAGGGAAACUUACGCUAAUACCGCAUACGACCUACGGGUGAAAGCAGGGGAUCUUCGGACCUUGCGCGAUUGAAUGAGCCGAUGUCGGAUUAGCUAGUUGGCGGGGUAAAGGCCCACCAAGGCGACGAUCCGUAGCUGGUCUGAGAGGAUGAUCAGCCACACUGGAACUGAGACACGGUCCAGACUCCUACGGGAGGCAGCAGUGGGGAAUAUUGGACAAUGGGCGCAAGCCUGAUCCAGCCAUACCGCGUGGGUGAAGAAGGCCUUCGGGUUGUAAAGCCAUUUUGUUGGGAAAGAAAAGCAGCAGGUUAAUACCCCGCUGUUCUGACGGUACCCAAAGAAGAAGCACCGGCUAACUUCGUG
This 492-nucleotide ribosomal RNA is filed under the name uncultured bacterium. RNAcentral's name for it is "partial 16S ribosomal RNA". It matches the Rfam family "Bacterial small subunit ribosomal RNA", at positions 29 to 507 of the family's 1533-position model. The record is from RNAcentral.